Molecule: long non-coding RNA, 904 nt
Organism: Canis lupus familiaris (dog)
Lineage: Eukaryota; Metazoa; Chordata; Mammalia; Carnivora; Canidae
Exons: 6
Source: RefSeq, a predicted model, not a curated record
AAUCAACUAGAUCUGAGGAUACAUUCCAAGUCAUGGAGUAAAAUAGGGUCUACAACAAUCUUGAUGAAAACCUCAGCAUCAUGAGAAGCUACAAAUUGAUGUUUCACUGAUUCCUACCACAUACAUUGGGUUCCGCCCACACUUCAAGGAGAGGAGAUUUCAUAAGGAUGUGAGUUUUCAGGGAUCACUUUUAGAAUUCUGCUCAGCACAGAUAAGUUCUGCUAUUGUGGCCACUCUUCAGGACUCACUCUCUGGAGAGCACAUAUAGCAAGGAAGUAAUACCUCUGGCCAACAAUCCAUGAGAACCUAACACCUGACAAGAGCCACAUGAGUGAGCUUGUGAGAGUAUCCUGCUCCAGUUAAACACUGAGAUGACUGAAGUCCUGGCUGACAGUGGGAUUGGAGCCAUGAGAGACACCAAGACAUUCACCCCGUUAGCUGUAUCUGGAUUCCUGACCUAUGGAAACUAGAGACACAGAGAGAGAAGCAGAGACACAGGCAGAGGGAGGAGCAGCCUCCAUGCAGAGAGCCCCACAUGGGAAUCGAUCCCUGACCUCCAGGAUCAUGCCCUGGUCUGAAGGUGGCACUAAAACCGCUGAGUCACCAGGGGCUGCCCUGUCCCUAUCUUCCUACUAUCAGCCAUCAGCUCUUGGAGAGAGGGGAAAAACCAACAAAAGGGACAAAAUCAAGAGUGGUAGAUGGCCUUACGAACUGGCCUUGAAGACAUAAUCACACUUCAGAAAGGGGACACAUCACCAAGGCCAGAAGCUUUCAAGGAACCCAGACAAGGGACACACAGGUAAUGGGAGUAAAGAGGCAAGACAGAGAAUACUCAUUAAAUAAUAAAAGAACUAAUCUUCCUGAGUCACAAGUCAUAGGUAACAGUUGGAUGGGUACUUGAUGG